ACAUGUAAGUGAUCUGGUUAUAUUAUAUAUCACCCCUUUGAUUGCCAAGGUUAAGUCUGCUCAUCUGUGUAGAUAAGAGUAGCCCCUUCCUUUACUGUUCCAUGGGUACCUUCUCAACUGCACACUCUCUGUUGAAGAAAAUGAUGUCAUCUGAGAGGGAAUAACCAGCCUUUGCUUAAAUGUAUAUAAGUAGCUGUGCCCCCAUUACUAUAGCUGGUAAAUAAACUCUUAAGGCCCAAAUACUCCACUGACUAGAACUGCGAUUUGUGCUAUUCAUAAAGUGCUCUAGGGCACUGAUACUAUAAAGUCCUUGCAACAGCAAGAAGUAAGAUGAUUCUUACA
RNAcentral lists this small nuclear RNA (342 nucleotides) under Microtus ochrogaster (prairie vole). RNAcentral describes it as "7SK RNA (ENSMOCG00000011507.1)". It matches the Rfam family "7SK RNA". Rfam says of the family: 7SK was discovered as an abundant small nuclear RNA in the mid-70s but a possible function has only recently been suggested. Two independent studies have found that 7SK RNA binds the CDK9/cyclin T complex (known as elongation factor P-TEFb). Lineage: Eukaryota; Metazoa; Chordata; Mammalia; Rodentia; Cricetidae. The record is from RNAcentral.